UAGGGAAUAUUAGAAAUGGACGAAAGUCUGAUCUAGCAACACCGCGUGUGCGAAGAAGGCCUUCGGGUUGUAAAGCACUUUUUGGAAGGAUUAGGAAGGAAUGUACUUCCAGAAUAAGUCUCGGCUAACUACGUGCCAGCAGCCGCGGUAACACGUAGGAGGCAAACGUUAUCAGGAUUUACUGGGCGUAAAGCGCGUGUAGGUGGUUCUGUAAGUAGGGCGUGAAAGCUCCUGGCUCAACUGGGAGAGGCCGUUCUAAACUGCAGAGCUAGAGGAUGGUAGAGGGAGGUGGAAUUCCGGGUGUAGCGGUGGAAUGCGCAGAGAUCCGGAGGAACACCAGAGGCGAAAGCGGCCUCCUGGACCAUUCCUGACACUCAGACGCGAAAGCUAGGGUAGCAAACG
Molecule: ribosomal RNA, 402 nt
Filed under: uncultured prokaryote
Description: bacterial SSU rRNA
Rfam family: Bacterial small subunit ribosomal RNA
Source: RNAcentral